Non-coding RNA from Parastrongyloides trichosuri, 1547 nucleotides. The record is from Rfam. NCBI's taxonomy places the organism in Eukaryota, Metazoa, Nematoda, Chromadorea, Rhabditida, Strongyloididae.
GAAAUCUCUACCCAAAACUAACUACGGUUUAAUAAGUUUUGGGUAGAGAUUUCUUCUCUAUUUAAGUUAUAAAAUCCAUGAAAAUUGCUCAGCAAGAGAUAUGGAUGUAGUAACGCAGAGUAUUAACAUUUUGUUGAUAUCCGAAGUGCUUAUUAGAUCACUUAAAAAGUUAGUGAAAGCAUAAUAAAUUUCGUAAUACAUCCGUACCCAUAUCCGCAACAGGUUUCCAAGAUGUCUAGUCUCUGGUCGAUGAAAUAAUGUAGGUAAGGGAAGUCGGCAAAAUAGAUUCGUAACUUUGGGAAAAGAAUUGGCUCAUGGGAUAUAAAAAGCCGGGUAAUAAGAUUGAUGGUUAAUUUUAAAUUAAAAUGGAUACUAGCAAUAGUUAUUUGAUUUAAUUUAAUAAUUAAUUAUUAACUUAUUAUUGAUAACGACUUUUAUUUAAUAUAUCAACCAUGAACUGGCACGGACAAGAGGAAUCCGACUGUCUAAUUAAAACAGAGGAGACAGAUGAUGUGUGAACAUGUAGACUGUGUCUGAUUUCUGCCCAGUGCAAUGAAUGUUAUCAUUGGGAAACCAAUUGAAGCUCUUGUAAACGGCGGGAGUAACUAUGACUCUCUUAAGGUAGCCAAAUGCCUCGUCGGGUAAUUUCCGACGCGCACGAAUGGAUUAACGAGAUUCCUACUGUCCCUAUCUACCAUUCAGCGAAAUCACAGCCAAGGGAACGGGCUUGGCAAAAACAGCGGGGAAAGAAGACCCUGUUGAGCUUGACUCUAGCUAGGCAUUGUGAAGUGUCAUAUGAGGUGUAGAAUAGGUGGGAGUAAUUUUAUUACGAUCUUGAAAUACCACUACUUAUAUCGAUGCUUUACUUAGUUGAUUAAAUGGAACUGUUAUAUUUUAUAACAUUUCUUGUAUUAAAUUAUAUCUUCGAGAUAUUAAUAAUCCACGUCAAUGAUCGUGUCUGGCGGGGAGUUUGACUGGGGCGGUACAUCUAUCAAACUGUAACGUAGGUGUCCUAAGGCAGACUCAGAGAGGACAGAAACCUCUCGUAGAGUAAAAGGGCAAAAGUUUGCUUGAUCAUGAUUUUCAGUACGAAUACAGACCCUGAAAGGGUGGCCUAUCGAUCCUUUUGUAUUAGUAUGUUUCUAAAAAGAGGUGCCAGAAAAGUUACCACAGGGAUAACUGGCUUGUGGCAGCCAAGAGUCCAUAUCGACGUUGCUUUUUGAUCCUUCGAUGUCGGCUCUUCCUAUCAUUGCGAAGCAGAUUUCGCCAAGCGUUGGAUUGUUCACCCACUAAUAGGGAACGUGAGCUGGGUUUAGACCGUCGUGAGACAGGUUAUUUUCAUAUUCCCGUCGGGGAUGCCUUUUCCUAGGCAAUCGGGGAAUUAUGCCCCGCCGUACUAUAUUUUGUGCUUUUUUUUUGACCCCGUCGGCACAUUUCAGACCCCCGAUUGUCAUUGUGCUUUAUGAAGCAUAUUUCCCCGACAAUGUUUCAUAAGUCACAAAUAUCAUGUUUUUUCCCCGAAGCACAAAAUUAUCCCCGACACAUUU